UUAUAAAAAUGAAUAAUUUUAUUACGUGGCACUAUUCAAAUUAGUGCCGCUAUAUUUCGAUGCUGUGUGCAGAACUUUUAUCGCUUUUUUGUUGAAUUUUUUUCAUUUUCUUCUUUACCGAAAUGGCAUCAAAUGAAGACAUGAAAACAAAAGACAGAGAAGGUUCUGAUGAUGAAAUGUCUGGUGGUGAAACAAUAGAUGGAGUUCAGGUCGAACGAAGAAGAUAUGCGGAAUUUGCUCUCAUUUGGACUUAGAGAAAAUUUGGAAUAUAAAUACAAAGUAUAAGUACAAGUAUAAGAGUACAAGUAUAAGUGUAUAAGUUUAGGUGAAUAAAUAUAGGUGUAUAAGUUUAAGUGAA
Molecule: long non-coding RNA, 358 nt
Organism: Xenia sp. Carnegie-2017
Lineage: Eukaryota; Metazoa; Cnidaria; Anthozoa; Malacalcyonacea; Xeniidae
Exons: 2
Source: RefSeq, a predicted model, not a curated record